RNAcentral lists this ribosomal RNA (362 nucleotides) under Pachyneura fasciata. RNAcentral's name for it is "12S ribosomal RNA". Lineage: Eukaryota; Metazoa; Arthropoda; Insecta; Diptera; Pachyneuridae. The record is from RNAcentral.
AAAAAUAGUAAAUAUAAUAUACUAGAAUAGUAUCAGUGAUUCUUGAAAUUUAAUAAAUUUGGCGGUAAUUUAGUCUACUCAGAGGAACUUGUCUCAUAAUCGAUAAUCCUCGUUUUAUCUUACUUAAUUUAAUUUAGUUUGUAUAUCGCCGUCAUCAGAAUGUCUUAAAAGAGAAAUAAUUUUCUAAUAUUUUAAUUAAAAAUAAUGUCAGGUCAAGGUGCAGCUUAUAUUUAAGUGAUGAUGAGUUACAAUAAAAUUAUUUAUAAUGAAUUAAUGAUUUAAAAAUUAUUAUGAAAGUGGAUUUGAUAGUAAAAUAUUUAUUUUUAAAAAUUAGGUUAUUUGAUUUUAGCUCUAAAUUAUGC